UACGUAGGGUGCGAGCGUUGUCCGGAAUUAUUGGGCGUAAAGAGCUUGUAGGCGGUUUGUCGCGUCUGCUGUGAAAAUCCGGGGCUCAACCCCGGACUUGCAGUGGGUACGGGCAGACUGGAGUGUGGUAGGGGAGACUGGAAUUCCUGGUGUAGCGGUGGAAUGCGCAGAUAUCAGGAGGAACACCGAUGGCGAAGGCAGGUCUCUGGGCCACUACUGACGCUGAGGAGCGAAAGCGUGGGGAGCAAACAGG
Molecule: ribosomal RNA, 253 nt
Filed under: uncultured bacterium
Lineage: Bacteria
Description: partial 16S ribosomal RNA
Rfam family: Bacterial small subunit ribosomal RNA
Source: RNAcentral